RNAcentral lists this ribosomal RNA (254 nucleotides) under uncultured bacterium. Its description in RNAcentral is "partial 16S ribosomal RNA". It matches the Rfam family "Bacterial small subunit ribosomal RNA", at positions 524 to 776 of the family's 1533-position model. The record is from RNAcentral.
UACGGAGGGUGCGAGCGUUGUCCGGAAUUAUUGGGCGUAAAGAGCUUGUAGGCGGUUUGUCGCGUCUGCCGUGAAAAUCCGAGGCUCAACCUCGGACUUGCGGUGGGUACGGGCAGACUAGAGUGUGGUAGGGGGAGACUGGAAUUCCUGGUGUAGCGGUGAAAUGCGCAGAUAUCAGGAGGAACACCGAUGGCGAAGGCAGGUCUCUGGGCCACUACUGACGCUGAGGAGCGAAAGCAUGGGGAGCGAACAGG